Mobula hypostoma (lesser devil ray) is the source of this 824-nucleotide long non-coding RNA. RefSeq lists it as uncharacterized. The transcript is spliced from 3 exons. The record is from RefSeq and is a predicted model, not a curated record. NCBI's taxonomy places the organism in Eukaryota, Metazoa, Chordata, Chondrichthyes, Myliobatiformes, Myliobatidae.
UUUGACGUUACAUAAAUACAAAGGCUUCUGUAGUAUAAAUUGUGAAAUAAGUCGCACGUCAGUGACAAUAUAUAACCAGAUUAGGUAACAUUUUAUUGUUUUUUUUAAGACGAACAUUGUGAUCUCUCAUUUUUCUUUUUUUUUUGCACCACACGUGCCUUAGAUGAUAGCAUUCUCACCUCUGAGUCAGCAGGUAAAAGGACCUACCGCAGAGGCAUGAGAACAAAAUUCCAGACUAAACAAACAAUGGCAUUCUGUGUCACUGGAAGGUCAGGUAAGAUCUUAAACCAAGACCCCAUCUACAUUCUCAGGCGUGACAGUACUGUUUGAGGAGGAGAAGGGAGUUUCCCUUGUGUUCUGUCUAAUAUUUAGCCCUCAAUCAACAGUACAAAAGCAAAGACAUUAUUGGAGAUUUGUUUGUAGCACCCUCCUGUACGCAAUUUGGCUGCUGCAUUACAGAAGUGACCAUGUUUUGCUCUUACAAGUCAUUCAGCUAGGGCUGCUGCCUCAUGGCUCCAGAUACCCCAAGUUUGAAUCUCAUCACGUGUGCUGCCUCUGUGGAGGGUGCAUGUCCUCCCUGUGAACAGGUGACUGACUCAUCCUUGGAUAGAAUAGCAAGCAUGUGGGAUAUCCUUCUGCUACCUCUCCCACAGCGGUCUUCUUCCACGCUGCGCUUAGUCAGUGAGCACUGACAUUCAGAGAAUCGGUUUACAUGACCUUCCUGAGGUCAGAUACCUGAUGUAAUUGAAACAGAAAUGGAAUUUCCUGAAACUGGAGAGAAAAAUUACGUACAGACAUUAACAGACAACCAUCAAGCAGAAUAA